RNAcentral lists this ribosomal RNA (1195 nucleotides) under Escherichia coli. RNAcentral describes it as "partial 23S ribosomal RNA". It matches the Rfam family "Bacterial large subunit ribosomal RNA", at positions 333 to 1536 of the family's 2925-position model. Lineage: Bacteria; Pseudomonadati; Pseudomonadota; Gammaproteobacteria; Enterobacterales; Enterobacteriaceae. RNAcentral also lists the same sequence under 1 other name. The record is from RNAcentral.
UGGAAGCGUCUGGAAAGGCGCGCGAUACAGGGUGACAGCCCCGUACACAAAAAUGCACAUGCUGUGAGCUCGAUGAGUAGGGCGGGACACGUGGUAUCCUGUCUGAAUAUGGGGGGACCAUCCUCCAAGGCUAAAUACUCCUGACUGACCGAUAGUGAACCAGUACCGUGAGGGAAAGGCGAAAAGAACCCCGGCGAGGGGAGUGAAAAAGAACCUGAAACCGUGUACGUACAAGCAGUGGGAGCACGCUUAGGCGUGUGACUGCGUACCUUUUGUAUAAUGGGUCAGCGACUUAUAUUCUGUAGCAAGGUUAACCGAAUAGGGGAGCCGAAGGGAAACCGAGUCUUAACUGGGCGUUAAGUUGCAGGGUAUAGACCCGAAACCCGGUGAUCUAGCCAUGGGCAGGUUGAAGGUUGGGUAACACUAACUGGAGGACCGAACCGACUAAUGUUGAAAAAUUAGCGGAUGACUUGUGGCUGGGGGUGAAAGGCCAAUCAAACCGGGAGAUAGCUGGUUCUCCCCGAAAGCUAUUUAGGUAGCGCCUCGUGAAUUCAUCUCCGGGGGUAGAGCACUGUUUCGGCAAGGGGGUCAUCCCGACUUACCAACCCGAUGCAAACUGCGAAUACCGGAGAAUGUUAUCACGGGAGACACACGGCGGGUGCUAACGUCCGUCGUGAAGAGGGAAACAACCCAGACCGCCAGCUAAGGUCCCAAAGUCAUGGUUAAGUGGGAAACGAUGUGGGAAGGCCCAGACAGCCAGGAUGUUGGCUUAGAAGCAGCCAUCAUUUAAAGAAAGCGUAAUAGCUCACUGGUCGAGUCGGCCUGCGCGGAAGAUGUAACGGGGCUAAACCAUGCACCGAAGCUGCGGCAGCGACACUAUGUGUUGUUGGGUAGGGGAGCGUUCUGUAAGCCUGUGAAGGUGUACUGUGAGGUAUGCUGGAGGUAUCAGAAGUGCGAAUGCUGACAUAAGUAACGAUAAAGCGGGUGAAAAGCCCGCUCGCCGGAAGACCAAGGGUUCCUGUCCAACGUUAAUCGGGGCAGGGUGAGUCGACCCCUAAGGCGAGGCCGAAAGGCGUAGUCGAUGGGAAACAGGUUAAUAUUCCUGUACUUGGUGUUACUGCGAAGGGGGGACGGAGAAGGCUAUGUUGGCCGGGCGACGGUUGUCCCGGUUUAAGCGUGUAGGCUGGUUUUCCAG